Molecule: ribosomal RNA, 1142 nt
Filed under: Campylobacter jejuni
Lineage: Bacteria; Pseudomonadati; Campylobacterota; Epsilonproteobacteria; Campylobacterales; Campylobacteraceae
Description: bacterial SSU rRNA
Rfam family: Bacterial small subunit ribosomal RNA
Source: RNAcentral
GGGGAAACCCUGACGCAGCAACGCCGCGUGGAGGAUGACACUUUUCGGAGCGUAAACUCCUUUUCUUAGGGAAGAAUUCUGACGGUACCUAAGGAAUAAGCACCGGCUAACUCCGUGCCAGCAGCCGCGGUAAUACGGAGGGUGCAAGCGUUACUCGGAAUCACUGGGCGUAAAGGGCGCGUAGGCGGAUUAUCAAGUCUCUUGUGAAAUCUAAUGGCUUAACCAUUAAACUGCUUGGGAAACUGAUAGUCUAGAGUGAGGGAGAGGCAGAUGGAAUUGGUGGUGUAGGGGUAAAAUCCGUAGAUAUCACCAAGAAUACCCAUUGCGAAGGCGAUCUGCUGGAACUCAACUGACGCUAAGGCGCGAAAGCGUGGGGAGCAAACAGGAUUAGAUACCCUGGUAGUCCACGCCCUAAACGAUGUACACUAGUUGUUGGGGUGCUAGUCAUCUCAGUAAUGCAGCUAACGCAUUAAGUGUACCGCCUGGGGAGUACGGUCGCAAGAUUAAAACUCAAAGGAAUAGACGGGGACCCGCACAAGCGGUGGAGCAUGUGGUUUAAUUCGAAGAUACGCGAAGAACCUUACCUGGGCUUGAUAUCCUAAGAACCUUUUAGAGAUAAGAGGGUGCUAGCUUGCUAGAACUUAGAGACAGGUGCUGCACGGCUGUCGUCAGCUCGUGUCGUGAGAUGUUGGGUUAAGUCCCGCAACGAGCGCAACCCACGUAUUUAGUUGCUAACGGUUCGGCCGAGCACUCUAAAUAGACUGCCUUCGUAAGGAGGAGGAAGGUGUGGACGACGUCAAGUCAUCAUGGCCCUUAUGCCCAGGGCGACACACGUGCUACAAUGGCAUAUACAAUGAGACGCAAUACCGCGAGGUGGAGCAAAUCUAUAAAAUAUGUCCCAGUUCGGAUUGUUCUCUGCAACUCGAGAGCAUGAAGCCGGAAUCGCUAGUAAUCGUAGAUCAGCCAUGCUACGGUGAAUACGUUCCCGGGUCUUGUACUCACCGCCCGUCACACCAUGGGAGUUGAUUUCACUCGAAGCCGGAAUACUAAACUAGUUACCGUCCACAGUGGAAUCAGCGACUGGGGUGAAGUCGUAACAAGGUAACCGUAGGAGAACCUGCGGUUGGAUCACCUCCUUUCUA